CGCUGGAUUGAGAUUUAAUCCUCUGCUUGCUGGAUAAUAUGAGAGAAGAAGAGAACAUGGGGAGAUUGCUUAAGCCUGCCAGAGUCCCUGUAGGCCACGCCAAGUAGCUUUAGCAGUGUUCUGCUCUG
Molecule: long non-coding RNA, 128 nt
Filed under: Struthio camelus australis
Lineage: Eukaryota; Metazoa; Chordata; Aves; Struthioniformes; Struthionidae
Description: lncRNA (ENSSCUG00000004711.1)
Source: RNAcentral